AAGAUUAAGCCAUGCAUGUAUAAGUAUAAACGACUUGAUCGUGAAACCGCGAACGGCUCAUUAUAACAGCUAUAAUUUACUUGAUCUUGACAACCUACUUGGAUAACUGUGGUAAUUCUAGAGCUAAUACAUGCACCAAAGCUCCGACCGUAAGGGAAGAGCGCAUUUAUUAGAACAAAACCAAGCGGCUUCGGCCGUCCAGUGUUGACUCAGAAUAACUAAGCUGAUCGCAUGGUCUUGUACCGGCGACGUGUCUUUCAAGUAUCUGCCUUAUCAACUUUCGAUGGUAGUGUAUCUGACUACCAUGGUGAUGACGGGUAACGGAGGAUAAGGGUUCGACUCCGGAGAAGGGGCCUGAGAAAUGGCCACUACGUCUAAGGAUGGCAGCAGGCGCGCAAAUUACCCACUCUCAGAACGAGGAGGUAGUGACGAGAAAUAACGAGACCGUUCUCUUAAGAGGCCGGUCAUCGGAAUGGGUACAAUUUAAACCCUUUAACGAGUAUCUAUGAGAGGGCAAGUCUGGUGCCAGCAGCCGCGGUAAUUCCAGCUCUCAAAAUGCAUAGAAUUAUUGCUGCGGUUAAAAAGCUCGUAGUUGGAUCUGUGCUGGCCUCCCGGUCCACCUUCGGGUGCGCACUGGUGAGGUUGGCUUUCCUGCCCGUCUUUCGGCCGGUGCCCUUCACCGGGUGCUGGUCGUAACGGGCAAGUUUACUUUGAACAAAUCAGAGUGCUCAAAACAGGCGUUUCGCUUGAAUGUUCGUGCAUGGAAUAAUAGAAGAGGAUUUCGGUUCUAUUUUAUUGGUUUUAUAGACUGAGAUAAUGGUUAACAGAGACAAACGGGGGCAUUCGUAUUGCUACGUGAGAGGUGAA
RNAcentral lists this ribosomal RNA (867 nucleotides) under Bitylenchus brevilineatus. RNAcentral describes it as "SSU rRNA". It matches the Rfam family "Eukaryotic small subunit ribosomal RNA", at positions 40 to 915 of the family's 1831-position model. Lineage: Eukaryota; Metazoa; Nematoda; Chromadorea; Rhabditida; Telotylenchidae. The record is from RNAcentral.